CGUUUUAGUGGCGGACGGGUGAGUAACGCGUGGGUAACCUGCCUCACACUGGGGGAUAACACUUAGAAAUAGGUGCUAAUACCGCAUAAGCGCACGGGACUGCAUGGUCUUGUGUGAAAAACCCCGGUGGUGUGAGAUGGACCCGCGUCUGAUUAGCUGGUUGGCGGGGUAACGGCCCACCAAGGCGACGAUCAGUAGCCGGCCUGAGAGGGUGGACGGCCACAUUGGGACUGAGACACGGCCCAAACUCCUACGGAAGGCAGCAG
RNAcentral lists this ribosomal RNA (266 nucleotides) under uncultured bacterium. Its description in RNAcentral is "partial 16S ribosomal RNA". It matches the Rfam family "Bacterial small subunit ribosomal RNA", at positions 88 to 354 of the family's 1533-position model. The record is from RNAcentral.